GAUGAACGCUGGCGGCGUGCCUAAUACAUGCAAGUCGAGCGAACAGACGAGGAGCUUGCUCCUCUGGCGUUAGCGGCGGACGGGUGAGUAACACGUGGAUAACCUACCUAUAAGACUGGGAUAACUUCGGGAAACCGGAGCUAAUACCGGAUAAUAUAUUGAACCGCAUGGUUCAAUAGUGAAAGACGGUUUUGCUGUCACUUAUAGAUGGAUCCGCGCCGCAUUAGCUAGUUGGUAAGGUAACGGCUUACCAAGGCAACGAUGCGUAGCCGACCUGAGAGGGUGGUCGGCCACAAUGGAACUGAGACACGGUCCAGACUCCUACGGGAGGCAGCAGUAGGGAAUCUUCCGCAAUGGGCGAAAGCUUGACGGAGCAACGCCGCGUGAGUGAUGAAGGUCUUCGGAUCGUAAAACUCUGUUAUUAGGGAAGAACAAAUGUGUAAGUAACUAUGCACGUCUUGACGGUACCUAAUCAGAAAGCCACGGCUAACUACGUG
RNAcentral lists this ribosomal RNA (497 nucleotides) under uncultured bacterium. RNAcentral's name for it is "partial 16S ribosomal RNA". It matches the Rfam family "Bacterial small subunit ribosomal RNA", at positions 28 to 507 of the family's 1533-position model. The record is from RNAcentral.